This 249-nucleotide long non-coding RNA is filed under the name Solanum tuberosum (potato). RNAcentral describes it as "long non-coding RNA (STUB_LNC000132)". Lineage: Eukaryota; Viridiplantae; Streptophyta; Magnoliopsida; Solanales; Solanaceae. The record is from RNAcentral.
UUGAAGUAUACUAGUGAUUUUACAUGCACAACCUUGCUUAUGAGUACUUAUAUAAAAGCUAUGAAGAGUUACAAUUGUCUAAAAUUGUUGUUAGAGGUUCUAUAUUUUGACGUGUAUCGCUUGUCGGGUGUUUACUUGAUCUUGUUCUUCUUUGGGUUGGAUAAAGUUGAUUCUCCCUUGAUUAUUACUUGAUAUCUAGAGAUCAAAAUUUUAUAACUUAAGUUCAUUGAAAGAUUGUGUUGUGAGAAG